UUGAAGAGUUUGAACCUGGCUCAGAUUGAACGCUGGCGGCAGGCCUAACACAUGCAAGUCGAGCGGAUGAAGGGAGCUUGCUCCUGGAUUCACCGGCGGACGGGUGAGUAAUGCCUAGGAAUCUGCCUGGUAGUGGGGGAUAACGUCCGGAAACGGGCGCUAUUCCCGCAUACGUCCUGAGGGAGAAAGUGGGGGAUCUUCGGACCUCCCGCUAUCAGAUGAGCCUUGGUUCGGAUUAGCUAGUUGGUGGGGUAAAGGCCUACCCAGGCGACGAUCCCGUAACUGGUCUGAGAGGAUGAUCAGUCACACUGGAACUGAGACACGGUCCAGACUCCUACGGGAGGCAGCAGUGGGGAAUAUUGGACAAUGGGCGAAAGCCUGAUCCAACCAUGCCGCGUGUGUGAAAGGUUUUCGGAUUGUAGUCCUUUAAGUUGGGAGGAAGGGCAGUAAGUUAAUACCUUGCUGUUUUGACGUUACCAACAGAAUAAGCACCGGCUAACUUCGUGCCAGCAGCCGCGGUAAUACGAAGGGUGCAAGCGUUAAUCGGAAUUACUGGGCGUAAAGCGCGCGUAGGUGGUUCAGCAAGUUGGAUGUGAAAUCCCCGGGCUCAACCUGGGAACUGCAUCCAAAACUACUGAGCUAGAGUACGGUAGAGGGUGGUGGAAUUUCCUGUGUAGCGGUGAAAUUGCGUUAGAUUAUAGGAAAGGAAACACCCAGUUGGCGAAAGGCGGACCCACCUGGACUUGAUUACUGAACACUUGAAGGUUGCGAAAAGCGUUGGGGAAGCAAACAGGAUUUAGAAUACCCCUGGUGAGUCCACGCCCGUAAAACGAUUGUUCGACUUAGCCCGUAUGGGAUUCCUUGAGAUUCUUAAGUGGCGCAAGCUAACGCGAUAAAGUCGACCGCCUGGGGAAGUACGGCCGCAAAGGUUAAAAACUCAAAAUGAAUUGACGGGGGCCCGCAUCAAGCGGUUGGAAGCAUGUGGUUUAAUUCGAAGCAACGCGAAAGACCCACCUUACCUGGCCUUGACAUGCUGAGAACUUUCCAGAGAUGGAUUGGUGCCUUCGGGAACUCAGACACAGGUGCUGCAUGGCUGUGUCAGCUCCUUCUUUGACAUGUUGGGUUAAGUCCCGAACGAGCGCACCCUUGCCUGUUACCAGCACCUCGGGUGGGCACUCUAAGGAGACUGCCGGUGACAAACCGGAGGAAGGUGGGGAUGACAGUCAAGUCAUCAUGGCCCUUACAGGCCAGGGCUACACACGUGCUACAAUGGUCGGUACAACAGGGUUGAACCAAGCACGCGAGGUGGAGCUAAUCCCAUAAAACCGA
This 1329-nucleotide ribosomal RNA is filed under the name Pseudomonas aeruginosa. RNAcentral's name for it is "bacterial SSU rRNA". It matches the Rfam family "Bacterial small subunit ribosomal RNA", at positions 1 to 1285 of the family's 1533-position model. Lineage: Bacteria; Pseudomonadati; Pseudomonadota; Gammaproteobacteria; Pseudomonadales; Pseudomonadaceae. The record is from RNAcentral.